CGGUAAUUAAAAUUGGUGAUUGUGAUCUUCACCCUCCAGUAAUCCUUGUAAUUCAGCUUCACAUGCCAAUGGACUCGAAUGGGGCACAUGUGGCUGGUGCACUGAACCAAGGGUGCAUUGUUGCCUGAUUUAUCAGGAGCUGAUACUACUGAAGCCAAAUAUGGAGAAUCUGGAUCCACACAGCUCCCAGAACCCGCCGUGUUGUUUUGACAUCCGCAAGUGCAGGUUGGGCAGUUGACUAUAGUAUCAUUGUAGAAGGAAGAGAGGGAAACACAACAAGUGGGUGUCUUCUGAGCAAGGAAUUGAGAAUAGGUGCAUGUAACAUUCCAAGUCAUCAAAGCUUGAGUUACUCUUCUUUUAUCUCCAGAUACAAAUUUGGUUGGUUUCACAAUCUUUGCUGGCCCACAAG
This 409-nucleotide unclassified non-coding RNA is filed under the name Hevea brasiliensis (rubber tree). Lineage: Eukaryota; Viridiplantae; Streptophyta; Magnoliopsida; Malpighiales; Euphorbiaceae. The record is from RNAcentral.